GCUACAAAAAGGCACUUGUGUAGCCAGAUGUCAGGGACUGGCUAGACGCUGACUCAGGAGAGGGCUGGGCAGUGGUUUGCAGGGACCUGUACCAGCCAGCUGGCAAGAAUCAGAGGCAGAGGAAGAUUCAGAACUGGAGGGUGGAACCCAGGAUGGGUCAGAAGAAGAGGCAGAAUUUCACUUUUGCUGCCUUAUUUUCCUCACCAAUCAGCAACAAGAUCCCCAAAUCUUGAACACAGGCCCAGUGUGGAAAAGUUAUCUAUUCUAUGCCCUCGAGAUGAG
This is a non-coding RNA of Podarcis muralis (Common wall lizard), 282 nucleotides long. NCBI's taxonomy places the organism in Eukaryota, Metazoa, Chordata, Lepidosauria, Squamata, Lacertidae. The record is from RefSeq and is a predicted model, not a curated record.